RNAcentral lists this ribosomal RNA (395 nucleotides) under uncultured bacterium. Its description in RNAcentral is "bacterial SSU rRNA". It matches the Rfam family "Bacterial small subunit ribosomal RNA", at positions 357 to 770 of the family's 1533-position model. The record is from RNAcentral.
GGGAAUAUUGCACAAUGGGCGAAAGCCUGAUGCAGCAACGCCGCGUGAGCGAUGAAGGCCUUCGGGUCGUAAAGCCCUGUCCUCAAGGAAGAUAAUGACGGUACUUGAGGAGGAAGCCCCGGCUAACUACGUGCCAGCAGCCGCGGUAAUACGUAGGGGGCUAGCGUUAUCCGGAAUUACUGGGCGUAAAGGGUGCGUAGGUGGUUUCUUAAGUCAGAGGUGAAAGGCUACGGCUCAACCGUAGUAAGCCUUUGAAACUGGGAAACUUGAGUGCAGGAGAGGAGAGUGGAAUUCCUAGUGUAGCGGUGAAAUGCGUAAAUAUUAGGAGGAACACCAGUGGCGAAGGCGGCCUGCUGGGCUUUAACUGACGCUGAGGCUCGAAAGCGUGGGUAGCA